CCUACGGGUGGCAGCAGUGGGGAAUAUUGCACAAUGGGGGAAACCCUGAUGCAGCGACGCCGCGUGAAGGAAGAAGUAUUUCGGUAUGUAAACUUCUAUCAGCAGGGAAGAAAAUGACGGUACCUGACUAAGAAGCCCCGGCUAACUACGUGCCAGCAGCCGCGGUAAUACGUAGGGGGCAAGCGUUAUCCGGAUUUACUGGGUGUAAAGGGAGCGUAGGCGGUUUAGCAAGUCAGGAGUGAAAGCCCGGGGCUUAACCCCGGGACUGCUUUUGAAACUGUUGAACUAGAGUGCAGGAGAGGUAAGUGGAAUUCCUAGUGUAGCGGUGAAAUGCGUAGAUAUUAGGAGGAACACCAGUGGCGAAGGCGGCUUACUGGACUGUAACUGACGCUGAGGCUCGAAAGCGUGGGGAGCAAACAGGAUUAGAUACCCCUGUAGUC
This 440-nucleotide ribosomal RNA is filed under the name uncultured bacterium. RNAcentral describes it as "partial 16S ribosomal RNA". It matches the Rfam family "Bacterial small subunit ribosomal RNA", at positions 338 to 795 of the family's 1533-position model. The record is from RNAcentral.